Molecule: long non-coding RNA, 375 nt
Organism: Patiria miniata (bat star)
Lineage: Eukaryota; Metazoa; Echinodermata; Asteroidea; Valvatida; Asterinidae
Exons: 3
Source: RefSeq, a predicted model, not a curated record
UUUCAGCAUUUUCCCGGCAUGGUAAAACCACAUUUCUAGCGCUUCCAGCCUCUUUAUGGAGUCUUCUUGUAAAGUCCAGGUUUCUGCCGCAUACACCAGUGUUGAGAUGAUGUAGCAACAGAUGUAGCCUUAAUUUGAGGUUUAACUUUCUAGCUGUUGUUGACAAGAACAGCAAUGGCAGGGUUUGGUAGCAUCAUCAUGACUACAAAUACGCCGUCUGCAACUGGAAGUGGUGGACAUGACUUGGAUGUUACUUACAAGAUCGCUGGAAAAGUUGGAGGAAUAGUUGGAGGGAUUGGUGGCUUUCUGGUGGCUCUGUUGGCAUUUUGUUUUGCAAUAUAUCAAUACAUUGGGAAACGCCGUAGUCACUGUGAA